This 645-nucleotide ribosomal RNA is filed under the name uncultured bacterium. RNAcentral describes it as "bacterial SSU rRNA". It matches the Rfam family "Bacterial small subunit ribosomal RNA", at positions 188 to 851 of the family's 1533-position model. The record is from RNAcentral.
CAUGAUCUUUAUGCCAAAGAUUUAUCGCUUCAAGAUGGCCUCGCGUCUGAUUAGCUGGUUGGCGGGGUAACGGCCCACCAAGGCGACGAUCAGUAGCCGGACUGAGAGGUUGAACGGCCACAUUGGGACUGAGAUACGGCCCAGACUCCUACGGGAGGCAGCAGUGGGGAAUAUUGGGCAAUGGGCGCAAGCCUGACCCAGCAACGCCGCGUGAAGGAAGAAGGCUUUCGGGUUGUAAACUUCUUUUAAGAGGGAAGAGCAGAAGACGGUACCUCUAGAAUAAGCCACGGCUAACUACGUGCCAGCAGCCGCGGUAAUACGUAGGUGGCAAGCGUUGUCCGGAUUUACUGGGUGUAAAGGGCGUGCAGCCGGGUCUGCAAGUCAGAUGUGAAAUCCAUGGGCUCAACCCAUGAACUGCAUUUGAAACUGUAGAUCUUGAGUGUCGGAGGGGCAAUCGGAAUUCCUAGUGUAGCGGUGAAAUGCGUAGAUAUUAGGAGGAACACCAGUGGCGAAGGCGGAUUGCUGGACGAUAACUGACGGUGAGGCGCGAAAGUGUGGGGAGCAAACAGGAUUAGAUACCCUGGUAGUCCACACUGUAAACGAUGAAUACGAGGUGUGCGGGGACUGACCCCCUGCGUGCCGCAG